UAUACGGGGCCGCUGGCGCCAUUUCGGUCUUUCAGCUGCAGGAGUUUGCUCGUGUUGGGAAUGGUGGUGUAUACAGGUGGAAUGUGGCAUUUGAUGGGAUUUUAUGGACAGUUACGUGCCAAAGAAGGGUGAGAACUCUGGUCCUAAACAGUAAGCCUCCAGUCAUGGGCAUACAGGCAUUGGGAAGCCAGAAGUUGAAAUGGUGGAGUUUGACUUAGCUGGACCAGGCUUAUUUGAGUGGUGCUGUCUGGAUGGCUUGCUUUGGUCCAGGUUAUGAAGACCUUUAUAAAGGUAUGGGGAGUGAGCUUGGCUAUGAUGCACUGUCCAAGAAGUUUUCAAAAAGCAUUAAGAGUGAAGAUACAAGCCAGGCAUGGUAUCAUGCCUGAACUUCCCAUCUACUAGACAGGUGGAGACAUGAUGACUUUAAGGUCAGCCUAGAUAAUGUAAGGCUGAGCUUCGUCUGUUGAAAAGAACUCACGAUUGGGAAAGUGGAGGUAAACCUUGUUAUCCUGAAGUCUCUAAGGACUUUAUGGCAUCAGUGGGCAUACAGCUCGUCCUUAUGGCAAAGGCAGCUGGAUGGACGCUCUUUGAAGAGAUUAAACAUACCAAUUUUAAUAAAUUUGUGGAAACUUAUCUGGAGAGAUGUAUUUUUUGGUGAUGAGGAUUGAGCCUAGGGAGAUGGGACUACAUGUAUUUCAAAUACAAAUGGGGUACGGGAAGAAAGGUACCUGAUCAAAACAAUAGGUGACUUUUUUGCACCCAUCAUUCUGAGUGGAAGUACACACGCACAAAUUAAGAGAUUCCACGGCACUGCUUCACUUUAGAAGACCCAUUUAAUGGCAAUAACAUUUUUAAAAAUAGGCAGGUUUUUUUGGCUCUUUCUGUAUAAAAUGAAAAACUGGCUAAAGCAGUGGGGUUAUUAGAAUGCUAAAAUUAAGACUACUGGGGAGAAAACUAAGUCGUGGUUACAGGCUUUUGGCAAUCAAAAUGUUCACGUAUACUAAAAGACUGGGUGUGGAAAAGCUGGUUAUAUCCAAGUAGUUCCCCUCAAAAGAUGUUUUAUAAAAUGUGGAUCUGCUAAGGUGCUUGGUACAGCUCUUUCCUAUCAUACCUGAGCCUUUCAUCUUACCCAGGUAAAUUUGAGUUUCUGGAGUCAAGCACUUGAUAAACAUGGCAGUGGAUUGACAAUAGAGCUCCAGUUUGCUAGAGAAACCAUCUCUAAAGAUCUUUGUGCCUGCUACAUAACUACUGCUCAGCAACAACAGCUUCAGCUGUGUUGGCAUGUUUCUCAGUCCAUUUUGCAGGUCUUCGAACCAGCUCCCUUUACAUUAUUUUACAAUACCAAGGGAAGAUGUGAGUUUCAUUUUUUUCCCCAGCAUUUACCUACGUGUACACAGUGGCUUCCUGGAGUGCCCUCAGGUGCUAGAAUUUUUUUUUUGUGGUAUUGGGGAUUGAACUCCAGCCUGGUGCUUGAGAGGCAGGUGUUGGAACCACUGAGCUAAAUCCCCUGGUCCAGCUGCUAUGUUGUGAGUCUGUUUUGGCGGUGAGAGGUCUCAACUGUAGUAGGCCUCAAUCUUAAUGCCUCAGCCUCCCAAAGUGCUGGGAUUACAGGUUUGUGCCGCCAUACCUGGUCCAGUGGUUUACUCUCCAUCACCACCAUUUGCUACUUGUGCAUACCUCUAAUCUCAUCUUGAGACCAGUCCAUGGGCAAUUCAGUGAGACCAGGUUGGGCAUGUAACUGCAAAGUCUAUUGGUUUCUCAAUGUUGGCAAAAAUUAUAGUAAAAAUUAACUGCUACUUCAGUGAAGGAACUUCUCCAUGAUUCUGGUUGCAAGCCAAAUUGAAUGGGAACUGAAUCCAAUGUCUCUUAAGGUUGAGAUUACCUAAUCACUGAAUUUGACUGGGUUCUCGUUUGUAGUCAGAAUUGUGGAAACGACUUAACUGUCAAAACCAGUUCAGGGUCUUGCUGCGUAGUUCAAUCUGGUCUGGAAUUUAGGUAGCCUAAUCUGGUGCUGGCCAUCUGCUUGCCUCCCAGGUACUGAGAGUAUAGGCCUGUGCUAACAUGCUUGGCUUCAGUGAGACUAAGUGAUCCUAAGACUUAAAGUUUGAGAAAUAUUCUAGAUGAAAUAGUAUCUUAGAGGUUAAGUAACUGGGCCAGUGAUAGGUGCCAAAGGGAGUGGUAGAGCCAGGAAUUAUAUCCAGGAGUGUUCAACUCAAAGUUUUAAAUAGUCUUUAUUUACACAUAUGUGAUUUAGAUGUACUUAAAGGAAGAUUUUACAGAUGCAGAUGGGGGGGCGGGGUGAGACAAGGUCUCAUUGUUCAGGCUGUCCUUAAAAAUAACAUUUGGAGUGAUCCUGCCUCAGCCACCGGAGUGCUGGGAUUAACAGGAGUGUGCCAUCAGUCAGGCCCAGAUGGAACUGUUACAAUACUUGGUUAAAAAAGUACCCUUAGGUGGCAUCCUUAAAAUUAUGCUUAACAAAAACUAAGAUCAGUGUUACAGAUCAGUUUGUUUCCUCAGAAGAAACUGUAAAAGACAGCUAUACAGGUACUGUUUUCAGUGAAAGCCUAUAAGCAAAAACAGCUAACAGACUCAUAGGAACAUCUCUUCCCAACAAGGAGGGAUUAUUUACAGGAUAAGCUGUCUUAACACAGACUUGCUGUUGCAGGUGGCAGUUGCUUUUUCUCUUCAGUGCUUGGCAUCAAACCCAGGGUGCAGCACAUGCCUAGGUAAGCACUCUCCCACUGAGCUGUAUCUCCAGCCCCACAAAAAUACUAAAUUGUAAAUUUUUAGCUUACUUCAAUAAAAGCUUUAUUUACAUUCCCUAGGAUUUAGAAUAAGCAUUUUUCCUGACAGUUCUGAAGAAAAGCUUGCAUAAUGCCUAAUGUGACAUGAAGAGAGGAUUGUCUUGACUCUUGGAGACCUAUGACCUUUGGUAUUUAUGGCCUAGGAAAUAGUUUGGGUGUCAUUUGUGAACUCGUUUCUGGGAGACAUUUUAGCCAGAAUUAGCUCUAAACAGUGAAUUAUACAUAUUGGAAAGCAAGUAACACGGGUGUAAAACUAUCUCCCUACCAAUAAAGGAUACCUAGAAAUUCUGCACUGAGAAGGGGCAGGCAAAACUGGAUACCCUCUGUCAUGAAGACUGCCAGCAAGGUCUUUUUGGGUUUAAUACACUCCAAGGGAGACUUUAGGUAAAAAAAAAUGUAGGGAAAAGCAACCUACUAGCAAACCAGAUUUCUGCAGCAGGGAAGGACAUUGAUGUGUACACAGCCUUUUUUUUUGGUACCGGCGAUUGAACUCCAGUCCUUGUGCUUGCGAGGCAGGUGGUGGACCCACUGAGCUAAAUCCCUGGCCCUGCCUAUUUUUGUACCUCGGAUCAAACUCAGGACCUUGUGCUUUCGAGGCAGUGUGGAUUGAACUCAGAACCUUGCACUUGUGAGGCAGGUGGCAGAACCACUGAGUACCCGAGAACGAACUCAGGACCUUGUGCUUGCAAGGCAGGUGGCGGAACCACUGAGCUAAAUCCCCGGCCUAAGUUUUUUAUUUUCAUUCAUAUUAUUUUUCACAAAUGUCUUCUGAUUUGGCAAGAAGAGCGCUAUGAGGUAGCCAGAGAAAGUACUGUUUACAUUUUACAUAAGUAGGAAAUGAAGCUCAGUGAGAAUUUCUUAAAGUGAAACACUGAAUAAGAUUUUGUCUCAUUUCAGUGAUAUUUUGUGCAUUAUGUUAUUCUUACUACAUUGUGUUGAUAGUUGAAAUUUCACCGUAAAUUUUAUCAGUCUCUUGAGGCUGGAUGAACCACAACCCUCCCUCUAUCACAUGUCUACAGAAGCAAGGAUUUUCCUUCAUGAUUUGACUUUCUCUGUCCUAUGAAUAAUCUGAGUAUGGAAAACAUGAUUAGAAAACAUUAACCUACUAUAUUACUCUAGUAAAAAGCCAUCUUUUACACUCUGCAAGUAAAAAGUAACUUCAAAAAACUCAACCAAAAUUAAUAAAAGCUCCAGAAGUACAUGUUA
Molecule: non-coding RNA, 4010 nt
Organism: Heterocephalus glaber (naked mole-rat)
Lineage: Eukaryota; Metazoa; Chordata; Mammalia; Rodentia; Bathyergidae
Source: RefSeq, a predicted model, not a curated record